AUUGAACGCUGGCGGCAUGCCUAACACAUGCAAGUCGAACGAGUGGCGGACGGGUGAGUAAUGUCUUGGAAACUGCCUGAUGGAGGGGGAUAACUACUGGAAACCGUAGCUAAUACCGCAUACCAUCGGAUGUGCCCAGAUGGGAUUAGCGAGUGGGUGGGGUAACGGCUCACCUAGGCGACGAUCCCUAGCUGGUCUGAGAGGAUGACCAGCCACACUGGGACGGAGACACGGUCCAGACUCCUACGGGAGGCAGCAGUGGGGAAUAUUGGACAAUGGGCGCAAGCCUGAUGCAGCCAUGCAGCGUGUAUGAAGAAGGCCUUCGGGUUGUAAAGUACUUUCAGCGGGGAGGCGGUACCCGAAGAAGAAGCACCGGCUAACUACGUGCCAGCAGCCGCGGUAAUAC
Molecule: ribosomal RNA, 406 nt
Filed under: uncultured bacterium
Lineage: Bacteria
Description: partial 16S ribosomal RNA
Rfam family: Bacterial small subunit ribosomal RNA
Source: RNAcentral